GGGUUGUGAGGUUAAGCGACUAAGCGUACACGGUGGAUGCCCUGGCAGUCAGAGGCGAUGAAGGGCGUGCUAAUCUGCGAUAAGCGCCGGUAAGGUGAUAUGAACCGUUAUAACCGGCGAUACCCGAAUGGGGAAACCCAGUGUGAUUCGUCACACUAUCAUUAACUGAAUCCAUAGGUUAAUGAGGCGAACCGGGGGAACUGAAACAUCUAAGUACCCCGAGGAAAAGAAAUCAACCGAGAUUCCCCCAGUAGCGGCGAGCGAACGGGGAGGAGCCCAGAGCCUGAAUCAGCAUGUGUGUUAGUGGAAGCGUCUGGAAAGGCGCGCGAUACAGGGUGACAGCCCCGUACACAAAAGCGCAUGUGCUGUGAGCUCGAUGAGUAGGGCGGGACACGUGGUAUCCUGUCUGAAUAUGGGGGGACCAUCCUCCAAGGCUAAAUACUCCUGACUGACCGAUAGUGAACCAGUACCGUGAGGGAAAGGCGAAAAGAACCCCGGCGAGGGGAGUGAAAAAGAACCUGAAACCGUGUACGUACAAGCAGUGGGAGCACAGGUUUACCUGUGUGACUGCGUACCUUUUGUAUAAUGGGUCAGCGACUUAUAUUCUGUAGCAAGGUUAACCGAAUAGGGGAGCCGGAGGGAAACCGAGUCUUAAUUGGGCGUUAAGUUGCAGGGUAUAGACCCGAAACCCGGUGAUCUAGCCAUGGGCAGGUUGAAGGUUGGGUAACACUAACUGGAGGACCGAACCGACUAAUGUUGAAAAAUUAGCGGAUGACCUGUGGCUGGGGGUGAAAGGCCAAUCAAACCGGGAGAUAGCUGGUUCUCCCCGAAAGCUAUUUAGGUAGCGCCUCGUGAAUUCAUCUCCGGGGGUAGAGCACUGUUUCGGCUAGGGGGCCAUCCCGGCUUACCAACCCGAUGCAAACUGCGAAUACCGGAGAAUGUUAUCACGGGAGACACACGGCGGGUGCUAACGUCCGUCGUGAAGAGGGAAACAACCCAGACCGCCAGCUAAGGUCCCAAAGUCAUGGUUAAGUGGGAAACGAUGUGGGAAGGCCCAGACAGCCAGGAUGUUGGCUUAGAAGCAGCCAUCAUUUAAAGAAAGCGUAAUAGCUCACUGGUCGAGUCGGCCUGCGCGGAAGAUGUAACGGGGCUAAACCAUGCACCGAAGCUGCGGCAGCGACGCUUAUGCGUU
RNAcentral lists this ribosomal RNA (1192 nucleotides) under Salmonella enterica subsp. enterica serovar Dublin. RNAcentral's name for it is "bacterial LSU rRNA". It matches the Rfam family "Bacterial large subunit ribosomal RNA", at positions 1 to 1222 of the family's 2925-position model. Lineage: Bacteria; Pseudomonadati; Pseudomonadota; Gammaproteobacteria; Enterobacterales; Enterobacteriaceae. The record is from RNAcentral.